This 409-nucleotide ribosomal RNA is filed under the name Escherichia coli. Its description in RNAcentral is "partial 23S ribosomal RNA". It matches the Rfam family "Bacterial large subunit ribosomal RNA", at positions 2419 to 2825 of the family's 2925-position model. The record is from RNAcentral. Lineage: Bacteria; Pseudomonadati; Pseudomonadota; Gammaproteobacteria; Enterobacterales; Enterobacteriaceae.
UCCGGUGGUUCUGAAUGGAAGGGCCAUCGCUCAACGGAUAAAAGGUACUCCGGGGAUAACAGGCUGAUACCGCCCAAGAGUUCAUAUCGACGGCGGUGUUUGGCACCUCGAUGUCGGCUCAUCACAUCCUGGGGCUGAAGUAGGUCCCAAGGGUAUGGCUGUUCGCCAUUUAAAGUGGUACGCGAGCUGGGUUUAGAACGUCGUGAGACAGUUCGGUCCCUAUCUGCCGUGGGCGCUGGAGAACUGAGGGGGGCUGCUCCUAGUACGAGAGGACCGGAGUGGACGCAUCACUGGUGUUCGGGUUGUCAUGCCAAUGGCACUGCCCGGUAGCUAAAUGCGGAAGAGAUAAGUGCUGAAAGCAUCUAAGCACGAAACUUGCCCCGAGAUGAGUUCUCCCUGACUCCUUGAG